UAGGGAAUCUUCGGCAAUGGACGAAAGUCUGACCGAGCAACGCCGCGUGAGUGAAGAAGGUUUUCGGAUCGUAAAACUCUGUUGUUAGAGAAGAACAAGGACGUUAGUAACUGAACGUCCCCUGACGGUAUCUAACCAGAAAGCCACGGCUAACUACGUGCCAGCAGCCGCGGUAAUACGUAGGUGGCAAGCGUUGUCCGGAUUUAUUGGGCGUAAAGCGAGCGCAGGCGGUUUCUUAAGUCUGAUGUGAAAGCCCCCGGCUCACCGGGGAGGGUCAUUGGAAACUGGGAGACUUGAGUGCAGAAGAGGAGAGUGGAAUUCCAUGUGUAGCGGUGAAAUGCGUAGAUAUAUGGAGGAACACCAGUGGCGAAGGCGGCUCUCUGGUCUGUAACUGACGCUGAGGCUCGAAAGCGUGGGGAGCAAACAGG
RNAcentral lists this ribosomal RNA (428 nucleotides) under Gemmatimonadota bacterium. Its description in RNAcentral is "Gemmatimonadetes bacterium partial 16S ribosomal RNA". It matches the Rfam family "Bacterial small subunit ribosomal RNA", at positions 355 to 776 of the family's 1533-position model. The record is from RNAcentral. Lineage: Bacteria; Pseudomonadati; Gemmatimonadota.